RNAcentral lists this ribosomal RNA (752 nucleotides) under Agaricales sp. SGT-2012. RNAcentral's name for it is "eukaryotic LSU rRNA". The stretch from base 235 to 388 matches the Rfam family "5.8S ribosomal RNA". Lineage: Eukaryota; Fungi; Basidiomycota; Agaricomycetes; Agaricales. The record is from RNAcentral.
UCAUUACUGAAUUAAUGGAGGGUUGUAGCUGGUUCCUUGGAAUAUGUGCUCGCCCUUCAAAUUCAUCUUAACCACCUGUGCACUUUUGUAGGCUACGAUAACUCUCAGUGGUAAAACACUGGAUUGAGAGACUUGCGCUUCAGCUGUCUUUCAACGUCGUAGUCUAUGUUUUAUCUCAUAUACUAAAGUCAUAGAAUGUUAUUGUAUGGGUCUACGACCUAUAAAACUAUAUACAACUUUCAACAACGGAUCUCUUGGCUCUCGCAUCGAUGAAGAACGCAGCGAAAUGCGAUAAGUAAUGUGAAUUGCAGAAUUCAGUGAAUCAUCGAAUCUUUGAACGCACCUUGCACUCCUUGGUAUUCCGAGGAGUAUGCCUGUUUGAGUGUCAUUAAAUUCUCAAACCUUCAUUGGUUUUGUARACUUUUGAAGGCUUUGGAUGUGGGGGCUGCUGGAAUCUAACGAAUUCAGCUCUCCUUAAAUGCAUUAGUGGUUACUGUUCCCCACUUUGAUGUGAUAAUUAUCUACAUCUUGUAAGUCGGGGAUGUUAAGUGUAGCUGCUUUCUAACCGUCCGAGUUGCUUUGGACAAUUUGAACCAUUUGACCUCAAAUCAGGUAGGACUACCCGCUGAACUUAAGCAUAUCAAUAAGCGGAGGAAAAGAAACUAACAAGGAUUCCCCUAGUAACUGCGAGUGAAGCGGGAAAAGCUCAAAUUUAAAAUCUGGUGGUUCUUGUAGCCAUCCGAAUUGUAAUU